Molecule: ribosomal RNA, 253 nt
Filed under: uncultured bacterium
Lineage: Bacteria
Description: partial 16S ribosomal RNA
Rfam family: Bacterial small subunit ribosomal RNA
Source: RNAcentral
GACAGAGGGUGCAAACGUUGCUCGGAAUUACUGGGCGUAAAGCGCGUGUAGGUGGACUCGUAAGUCGGAUGUGAAAUCCCAGGGCUCAACCCUGGAACUGCACCCGAAACUGUGAGUCUUGAGUUAUGGAGAGGAAAGUGGAAUUCCUGGUGUAGAGGUGAAAUUCGUAGAUAUCAGGAGGAACAUCGGUGGCGAAGGCGGCUUUCUGGACAUACACUGACACUGAGACGCGAAAGCGUGGGGAGCAAACAGG